UGAGUCAUUCAUCAGAAGUAUGAGCAUUGACCUCUGCAUCUUUCUACUUUAAGAGUACAAAAUUUAGAAUAAAAGCUUUCGGCUUUCCUUAUUCCAUAGUCUAAUCACAAACAUACGUAACAUGAUAUACGUAUACAAUUGGUAUAGUACAUCAGACUCCCAAAAGGAGCUUCUCCAAACAACCAAAGCCUCUCUCCCAAUUGCCCCCCGUCCCCAUCUCCUCCACCUCCUCCUCGCCCCAACGUUCCUCUCCUCCCCAGAUCCCCUCCACGAUCUCUUCCAAGCUCGCCGGAAACCCUUCCCCGCCGACGGCCGGCUCCCCCAGGAUCGCGUCCAGGACUU
Molecule: long non-coding RNA, 342 nt
Filed under: Phoenix dactylifera (date palm)
Lineage: Eukaryota; Viridiplantae; Streptophyta; Magnoliopsida; Arecales; Arecaceae
Description: long non-coding RNA (PDAC_LNC014663)
Source: RNAcentral